RNAcentral lists this ribosomal RNA (440 nucleotides) under uncultured bacterium. RNAcentral's name for it is "partial 16S ribosomal RNA". It matches the Rfam family "Bacterial small subunit ribosomal RNA", at positions 338 to 795 of the family's 1533-position model. The record is from RNAcentral.
CCUACGGGAGGCAGCAGUGGGGAAUAUUGCACAAUGGGGGAAACCCUGAUGCAGCGACGCCGCGUGAGUGAAGAAGUAUUUCGGUACGUAAAGCUCUAUCAGCAGGGAAGAAAAUGACGGUACCUGACUAAGAAGCCCCGGCUAACUACGUGCCAGCAGCCGCGGUAAUACGUAGGGGGCAAGCGUUAUCCGGAUUUACUGGGUGUAAAGGGAGCGUAGACGGCAGCGCAAGUCUGGAGUGAAAUCCCAUGGCUUAACCAUGGAACUGCUUUGGAAACUGUGCAGCUAGAGUGCAGGAGAGGUAGGCGGAAUUCCGAGUGUAGCGGUGAAAUGCGUAGAUAUUAGGAAGAACACCAGUGGCGAAGGCGGCUUACUGGACUGUAACUGACGUUGAGGCUCGAAAGCGUGGGGAGCAAACAGGAUUAGAUACCCGAGUAGUC